ACUGGUUACUGAGAAAUGUAGCUUUAAAGCAGAUUUCUAAUAUGGUCUUAAGACAAGUGCUAGAGGCACAAGGCUGGGAAACACCAUAUGAUGCCUGAGCUCACAUCCCUAUGGGAACAGCCAGGUGCAUACCACUCUUGGAGACAUGAUCAAUGCCAAUGAGUUAUUUUCUUCCUACAGCAUUGUACAGAAUUAAUACAAAAUAUCACAUAUCACUUCCAUAAUUCCUGUUAGAGAAAAAAUUUCUCAACUUAUAAAAACAUUUAGUCUUUAUAGUAAUAGUUCACUAGGAAAAAAUACAUCAAAUACACAUUAAGGCUACGAGAACUACUGAAACUCAUGACAUCAACGAAUGCUAGGUGAUAUGGUGGAGUGCCCUAUUAAUUCCUUUUCAGACCAGCCUUACCUCAUCAUGAGCAGGAUGACUAAAUUACAUCACACUCUACUGGUUGUUUGUACUGUGGGAUGUAUGGCAGUGUGUCCUCCUUCGGAGGACCUUGGUCCUUGCCAGUGUCAUGAAGACAGUAAUGGUAUUCCAGCUCUACAGUGUCAGGAUGUGACUGGCUGG
Molecule: non-coding RNA, 568 nt
Organism: Cherax quadricarinatus
Lineage: Eukaryota; Metazoa; Arthropoda; Malacostraca; Decapoda; Parastacidae
Source: RefSeq, a predicted model, not a curated record